UAACACAUGCAAGUCGAACGAGAAUCUACUGAAAGAGUUUUCGGACAAUGGAAGUAGAGGAAAGUGGCGGACGGGUGAGUAACGCGUGAGGAACCUGCCUUGAAGAGGGGGACAACAGUUGGAAACGACUGCUAAUACCGCAUGAAGCAUAGGGGUCGCAUGAUCUUUAUGCCAAAGAUUUAUCGCUUCAAGAUGGCCUCGCGUCUGAUUAGCUAGUUGGCGGGGUAACGGCCCACCAAGGCGACGAUCAGUAGCCGGACUGAGAGGUUGAACGGCCACAUUGGGACUGAGAUACGGCCCAGACUCCUACGGGAGGCAGCAGUGGGGAAUAUUGGGCAAUGGGCGCAAGCCUGACCCAGCAACGCCGCGUGAAGGAAGAAGGCUUUCGGGUUGUAAACUUCUUUUAAGAGGGAAGAGCAGAAGACGGUACCUUUAGAAUAAGCCACGGCUAACUACGUGCCAGCAGCCGCGGUAAUACGUAGGUGGCAAGCGUUGUCCGGAUUUACUGGGUGUAAAGGGCGUGCAGCCGGGUCUGCAAGUCAGAUGUGAAAUCCAUGGGCUCAACCCAUGAACUGCAUUUGAAACUGUAGAUCUUGAGUGUCGGAGGGGCAAUCGGAAUUCCUAGUGUAGCGGUGAAAUGCGUAGAUAUUAGGAGGAACACCAGUGGCGAAGGCGGAUUGCUGGACGAUAACUGACGGUGAGGCGCGAAAGUGUGGGGAGCAAACAGGAUUAGAUACCCUGGUAGUCCACACUGUAAACGAUGAAUACUAGGUGUGCGGGGACUGACCCCCUGCGUGCCGCAGUAAACACAAUAAGUAUUCCACCUGGGGAGUACGAUCGCAAGG
This 845-nucleotide ribosomal RNA is filed under the name uncultured bacterium. RNAcentral's name for it is "bacterial SSU rRNA". It matches the Rfam family "Bacterial small subunit ribosomal RNA", at positions 49 to 893 of the family's 1533-position model. The record is from RNAcentral.